UAAAAGAAAUCUUUAGUUAAGAAUUUUAUUUACGAUAAAAAUAUUCUGUUUAAUUCAGAUCUUUUA
Molecule: transfer RNA, 66 nt
Filed under: Pentapycnon charcoti
Lineage: Eukaryota; Metazoa; Arthropoda; Pycnogonida; Pantopoda; Pycnogonidae
Description: tRNA-Val
Source: RNAcentral